RNAcentral lists this ribosomal RNA (253 nucleotides) under uncultured bacterium. Its description in RNAcentral is "partial 16S ribosomal RNA". It matches the Rfam family "Bacterial small subunit ribosomal RNA", at positions 524 to 776 of the family's 1533-position model. The record is from RNAcentral.
UACGGGGGGGGCAAGCGUUGUUCGGAAUUACUGGGCGUAAAGGGCUCGUAGGCGGCCAACUAAGUCAGACGUGAAAUCCCUCGGCUUAACCGGGGAACUGCGUGUGAUACUGGCGGGCUUGAAUUCGGGAGAGGGAUGCGGAAUUCCAGGUGUAGCGGUGAAAUGCGUAGAUAUCUGGAGGAACACCGGUGGCGAAGGCGGCAUCCUGGACCAAUUCUGACGCUGAGGAGCGAAAGCCAGGGGAGCAAACGGG